UGCAAGUCGAACGGUGAAGCAGAGCUUGCUCUGUGGAUCAGUGGCGAACGGGUGAGUAACACGUGAGCAAUCUGCCCCUGACUCUGGGAUAAGCGCUGGAAACGGCGUCUAAUACCGGAUACGAGCUGCGAAGGCAUCUUCAGCAGUUGGAAAGAAUUUCGGUCAGGGAUGAGCUCGCGGCCUAUCAGCUUGUUGGUGAGGUAGUGGCUCACCAAGGCGUCGACGGGUAGCCGGCCUGAGAGGGUGACCGGCCACACUGGGACUGAGACACGGCCCAGACUCCUACGGGAGGCAGCAGUGGGGAAUAUUGCACAAUGGGCGCAAGCCUGAUGCAGCAACGCCGCGUGAGGGAUGACGGCCUUCGGGUUGUAAACCUCUUUUAGCAAGGAAGAAGCGAAAGUGACGGUACUUGCAGAAAAAGCGCCGGCUAACUACGUGCCAGCAGCCGCGGUAAUACGUAGGGCGCAAGCGUUAUCCGGAAUUAUUGGGCGUAAAGAGCUCGUAGGCGGUUUGUCGCGUCUGCUGUGAAAACUGGAGGCUCAACCUCCAGCCUGCAGUGGGUACGGGCAGACUAGAGUGCGGUAGGGGAGAUUGGAAUUCCUGGUGUAGCGGUGGAAUGCGCAGAUAUCAGGAGGAACACCGAUGGCGAAGGCAGAUCUCUGGGCCGUAACUGACGCUGAGGAGCGAAAGGGUGGGGAGCAAACAGGCUUAGAUACCCUGGUAGUCCACCCCGUAAACGUUGGGAACUAGUUGUGGGGUCCAUUCCACGGAUUCCGUGACGCAGCUAACGCAUUAAGUUCCCCGCCUGGGGAGUACGGCCGCAAGGCUAAAACUCAAAGGAAUUGACGGGGACCCGCACAAGCGGCGGAGCAUGCGGAUUAAUUCGAUGCAACGCGAAGAACCUUACCAAGGCUUGACAUAUACGAGAACG
RNAcentral lists this ribosomal RNA (931 nucleotides) under Microbacterium sp. ER-62. RNAcentral's name for it is "bacterial SSU rRNA". It matches the Rfam family "Bacterial small subunit ribosomal RNA", at positions 56 to 997 of the family's 1533-position model. The record is from RNAcentral. Lineage: Bacteria; Bacillati; Actinomycetota; Actinomycetes; Micrococcales; Microbacteriaceae.